CCUACGGGUGGCAGCAGUGAGGAAUAUUGGUCAAUGGACGAGAGUCUGAACCAGCCAAGUAGCGUGAAGGAUGACUGCCCUAUGGGUUGUAAACUUCUUUUAUAUGGGAAUAAAAUGUUCCACGUGUGGGAUUUUGUAUGUACCAUAUGAAUAAGGAUCGGCUAACUCUGUGCCAGCAGCCGCGGUAAUACGGAGGAUCCGAGCGUUAUCCGGAUUUAUUGGGUUUAAAGGGAGCGUAGGUUGAUUGUUAAGUCAGUUGUGAAAGUUUGCGGCUCAACCGUAAAAUUGCAGUUGAAACUGGCAGUCUUGAGUACAGUAGAGGUGGGCGGAAUUCGUGGUGUAGCGGUGAAAUGCUUAGAUAUCACGAAGAACUCCGAUUGCGAAGGCAGUUCACUGGACUGCAACUGACACUGAGGCUCGAAAGUGUGGGUAUCAAACAGGAUUAGAUACCCUAGUAGUC
RNAcentral lists this ribosomal RNA (460 nucleotides) under uncultured bacterium. RNAcentral describes it as "partial 16S ribosomal RNA". It matches the Rfam family "Bacterial small subunit ribosomal RNA", at positions 338 to 795 of the family's 1533-position model. The record is from RNAcentral.